Molecule: transfer RNA, 73 nt
Filed under: Phrynosoma platyrhinos (Desert horned lizard)
Lineage: Eukaryota; Metazoa; Chordata; Lepidosauria; Squamata; Phrynosomatidae
Description: tRNA-OTHER
Source: RNAcentral
GGCCAGUGUGGUAUAGUGAUUUGAGCAUUGGACUAUGACUCUAGAGAUCAGGGUUUGAUUCCCCGCUUGGCCA